UGGGGAAUUAGCAGCCUCCCGUUUCAAGACAUUCACGUCCAAGGCCUGC
This 49-nucleotide non-coding RNA is filed under the name unclassified sequences. The record is from RNAcentral.